This 1253-nucleotide ribosomal RNA is filed under the name Spiniferites belerius. Its description in RNAcentral is "eukaryotic LSU rRNA". It matches the Rfam family "Eukaryotic large subunit ribosomal RNA", at positions 59 to 1279 of the family's 3401-position model. The record is from RNAcentral. Lineage: Eukaryota; Dinophyceae; Gonyaulacales; Gonyaulacaceae.
AACACACUGAACAGGAUUCUUGUAGUAAUGGCGAAUGAACAAGGAAAAGCUCAUGCUGAAAAUCAAGCCUUUCAGGUUUGAAUUGUAUGUUUAUGAUGCAAUGCCAAUAGCAAUGCAGGGGUAAGCUUUUGGGGUGAAGCAGCAUUGAAGGUGAAAGUCCUGUGUGUCCCUUGUGGCUUGCUAUGUAUGGCAUGCUUCCACGAAUCGUGUUCCCUGAAACUGGAGCGCAAAGUGGGUGGUAAAUUUCAUCUAAAGCUGAAUAUGGGUUUGAAAUUGAUAGCAAACAAGUACCAUGAGGGAAAAGUGAAAAGGACUUUGAAAAGAAAGUUAGAAGUACCUGAAAUUGUUGAAAAGAAAGCAAACGAAAUUGAUCUUGUUGAGGUAGAUUGCUUCAUGUGUUUGGGGUGGCGACUUCGCACACUUGCUGUUAAGUGUCCCUUCUCCUCACCUGUGUGGUGUGUCUGCCUUUGCAUGUCAAACAUCAUUUAGGUCUUGCCAAUGUGCAUGGUGCAAGGGGCUUCAACUUUUUGAAUGAUUGCUCCUUCGUCUGGCAUCCUGUUUGAUUGCUGUACAUCUGGGCUGCCUGAGCAUGUUUUGCUCGUGUUUCCCUGAUGUGUUCUUUGGUGAUGAUAUUUCUUUUGACCCGUCUUGAAACACGGACCAAGGAGUCUAACACAUGUGCGAGUUUAUGAAUUUAGAUUUGUUGGCACAAUGAAAAUGACAGGUGGGAUUUGCGCACCACCAACCAACCAAUCAAUUGUGAGAGGUUUGAGCUUGAGCAUUUGUGUUAGGACCCGAAAGAUGGUGAACUAUGCUUGAGAAAAGUAAAUUCAGGGGAAACUCUGAUGGAGGCUUGCAUCGGUACUGACGUGCAAAUCGUUCGUCAUACUUGGGUAUAGGGGCGAAAGACUAAUCGAACCAUCUAGUAGCUGGUUCCCUCCGAAGUUUCCCUCAGGAUAGCUGGAAUGACACAGUUUCAUCAGGUAAAGCGAAUGAUUAGAGGAAUUGGGGGCUUGUUGUCCUUGACCUAUUCUCAAACUUUAAAUGGGUAAGAUCCAACAAUUUCUUGGGUGAAUUGGUGGGAUAAAUAAAUAUUCUAUGUGGGCCAUUUUUGGUAAGCAGAAUUGGCGAUGAGGGAUGAACCUAACGUUGAAAUAAAGUGCUUCAUUGCUCGCUCAUCAGAUACCAUAAAAGGUGUUGGUUCAUUUGAACAGCAGGACGGUGGUCAUGGAAGUCGAAAUCCGCUAAGGAGU